This 484-nucleotide ribosomal RNA is filed under the name uncultured bacterium. Its description in RNAcentral is "partial 16S ribosomal RNA". It matches the Rfam family "Bacterial small subunit ribosomal RNA", at positions 30 to 507 of the family's 1533-position model. The record is from RNAcentral.
AUUGAACGCUGGCGGCAGGCCUAACACAUGCAAGUCGAGCGGAUGAAGGGAGCUUGCUCCUGGAUUCAGCGGCGGACGGGUGAGUAAUGCCUAGGAAUCUGCCUGGUAGUGGGGGAUAACGUCCGGAAACGGGCGCUAAUACCGCAUACGUCCUGAGGGAGAAAGUGGGGGAUCUUCGGACCUCCCGCUAUCAGAUGAGCCUAGGUCGGAUUAGCUAGUUGGUGGGGUAAAGGCCUACCAAGGCGACGAUCCGUAACUGGUCUGAGAGGAUGAUCAGUCACACUGGAACUGAGACACGGUCCAGACUCCUACGGGAGGCAGCAGUGGGGAAUAUUGGACAGUGGGCGAAAGCCUGAUCCAGCCAUGCCGCGUGUGUGAAGAAGGUCUUCGGAUUGUAAAGCACUUUAAGUUGGGAGGAAGGGCAGUAAGUUAAUACCUUGCUGCUUUGACGUUACCAACAGAAUAAGCACCGGCUAACUUCGUG